Regulatory RNA element from Streptococcus sp., 132 nucleotides. It matches the Rfam family "Ribosomal protein L10 leader". Rfam says of the family: This family is a putative r-protein leader autoregulatory structure found in B. subtilis and other low-GC Gram-positive bacteria. It is located in the 5' untranslated regions of mRNAs encoding ribosomal proteins L10 and L12 (rplJ-rplL). A Rho-independent transcription terminator structure that is probably involved in regulation is included at the 3' end. Lineage: Bacteria; Bacillati; Bacillota; Bacilli; Lactobacillales; Streptococcaceae. The record is from Rfam.
GGUUUAAAAAUAACCGUACCAAAGACAGUAGGUGGAGCAAUCCGUAAUUCCUACCGAGGACGAAGAUUAUCGAUUAAAUAUGAUAUUUUUGUACUCUCUAUGUCUUGGGCAAAGAGUUUUCUUUUUGCCCGA